RNAcentral lists this ribosomal RNA (497 nucleotides) under uncultured bacterium. RNAcentral describes it as "partial 16S ribosomal RNA". It matches the Rfam family "Bacterial small subunit ribosomal RNA", at positions 28 to 507 of the family's 1533-position model. The record is from RNAcentral.
GAUGAACGCUGGCGGCGUGCCUAAUACAUGCAAGUCGAGCGAACGGACGAGAAGCUUGCUUCUCUGAUGUUAGCGGCGGACGGGUGAGUAACACGUGGAUAACCUACCUAUAAGACUGGGAUAACUUCGGGAAACCGGAGCUAAUACCGGAUAAUAUUUUGAACCGCAUGGUUCAAAAGUGAAAGACGGUCUUGCUGUCACUUAUAGAUGGAUCCGCGCUGCAUUAGCUAGUUGGUAAGGUAACGGCUUACCAAGGCAACGAUGAGUAGCCGACCUGAGAGGGUGAUCGGCCACACUGGAACUGAGACACGGUCCAGACUCCUACGGGAGGCAGCAGUAGGGAAUCUUGCGCAAUGGGCGAAAGCCUGACGGAGCAACGCCGCGUGAGUGAUGAAGGUCUUCGGAUCGUAAAGCUCUGUUAUUAGGGAAGAAAAUAUGUGUAAGUAACUGUGCACAUCUUGACGGUACCUAAACAGAAAGCCACGGCUAACUACGUG